Molecule: ribosomal RNA, 194 nt
Filed under: uncultured Bacillota bacterium
Lineage: Bacteria; Bacillati; Bacillota
Description: uncultured Firmicutes bacterium partial 16S ribosomal RNA
Rfam family: Bacterial small subunit ribosomal RNA
Source: RNAcentral
CCUACGGGAGGCAGCAGUAGGGAAUCUUCCGCAAUGGACGAAAGUCUGACGGAGCAACGCCGCGUAAACGAAGAAGGCCUUCGGGUCGUAAAGUUCUGUUGUUAGGGAAGAACAAGUACCAGAGUAACUGCUGGUACCUUGACGGUACCUAACCAGAAAGCCACGGCUAACUACGUGCCAGCAGCCGCGGUAAU